RNAcentral lists this ribosomal RNA (1676 nucleotides) under Salmonella enterica subsp. enterica serovar Schwarzengrund. RNAcentral's name for it is "partial 23S ribosomal RNA". It matches the Rfam family "Bacterial large subunit ribosomal RNA", at positions 1213 to 2866 of the family's 2925-position model. Lineage: Bacteria; Pseudomonadati; Pseudomonadota; Gammaproteobacteria; Enterobacterales; Enterobacteriaceae. The record is from RNAcentral.
CUGAUGCGUUGUUGGGUAGGGGAGCGUUCUGUAAGCCUGCGAAGGUGGCCUGUGAGGGUUGCUGGAGGUAUCAGAAGUGCGAAUGCUGACAUAAGUAACGAUAAAGCGGGUGAAAAGCCCGCUCGCCGGAAGACCAAGGGUUCCUGUCCAACGUUAAUCGGGGCAGGGUGAGUCGACCCCUAAGGCGAGGCCGAAAGGCGUAGUCGAUGGGAAACGGGUUAAUAUUCCCGUACUUGGUGUUACUGCGAAGGGGGGACGGAGAAGGCUAUGUUGGCCGGGCGACGGUUGUCCCGGUUUAAGCGUGUAGGUGUGUGUUCCAGGUAAAUCCGGUUCACUUUAACACUGAGGCGUGAUGACGAGGCACUACGGUGCUGAAGCAACAAAUGCCCUGCUUCCAGGAAAAGCCUCUAAGCAUCAGGUAACAUCAAAUCGUACCCCAAACCGACACAGGUGGUCAGGUAGAGAAUACCAAGGCGCUUGAGAGAACUCGGGUGAAGGAACUAGGCAAAAUGGUGCCGUAACUUCGGGAGAAGGCACGCUGACACGUAGGUGAAGUGAUUUACUCAUGGAGCUGAAGUCAGUCGAAGAUACCAGCUGGCUGCAACUGUUUAUUAAAAACACAGCACUGUGCAAACACGAAAGUGGACGUAUACGGUGUGACGCCUGCCCGGUGCCGGAAGGUUAAUUGAUGGGGUCAGCGCAAGCGAAGCUCCUGAUCGAAGCCCCGGUAAACGGCGGCCGUAACUAUAACGGUCCUAAGGUAGCGAAAUUCCUUGUCGGGUAAGUUCCGACCUGCACGAAUGGCGUAAUGAUGGCCAGGCUGUCUCCACCCGAGACUCAGUGAAAUUGAACUCGCUGUGAAGAUGCAGUGUACCCGCGGCAAGACGGAAAGACCCCGUGAACCUUUACUAUAGCUUGACACUGAACAUUGAGCCUUGAUGUGUAGGAUAGGUGGGAGGCUUUGAAGUGUGGACGCCAGUCUGCAUGGAGCCGGCCUUGAAAUACCACCCUUUAAUGUUUGAUGUUCUAACGUGGACCCGUGAUCCGGGUUGCGGACAGUGUCUGGUGGGUAGUUUGACUGGGGCGGUCUCCUCCUAAAGAGUAACGGAGGAGCACGAAGGUUGGCUAAUCCUGGUCGGACAUCAGGAGGUUAGUGCAAUGGCAUAAGCCAGCUUGACUGCGAGCGUGACGGCGCGAGCAGGUGCGAAAGCAGGUCAUAGUGAUCCGGUGGUUCUGAAUGGAAGGGCCAUCGCUCAACGGAUAAAAGGUACUCCGGGGAUAACAGGCUGAUACCGCCCAAGAGUUCAUAUCGACGGCGGUGUUUGGCACCUCGAUGUCGGCUCAUCACAUCCUGGGGCUGAAGUAGGUCCCAAGGGUAUGGCUGUUCGCCAUUUAAAGUGGUACGCGAGCUGGGUUUAGAACGUCGUGAGACAGUUCGGUCCCUAUCUGCCGUGGGCGCUGGAGAACUGAGGGGGGCUGCUCCUAGUACGAGAGGACCGGAGUGGACGCAUCACUGGUGUUCGGGUUGUCAUGCCAAUGGCACUGCCCGGUAGCUAAAUGCGGAAGAGAUAAGUGCUGAAAGCAUCUAAGCACGAAACUUGCCCCGAGAUGAGUUCUCCCUGAGACUUAGAGUCUCCUGAAGGAACGUUGAAGACGACGACGUUGAUAGGCCGGGU